Long non-coding RNA from Protopterus annectens (West African lungfish), 539 nucleotides. RefSeq lists it as uncharacterized. Lineage: Eukaryota; Metazoa; Chordata; Ceratodontiformes; Protopteridae. The record is from RefSeq and is a predicted model, not a curated record. The transcript has 3 exons.
CCGGACAAAAGCCACAGUAAUCUGCUCUCUGGUCUAAGGCUUUUUCUCAUAUUUCUGAAAGACUGAAGUGACCUACUUGGAAUCCUAAGACCUUCCUUAUCCACCCUCCAAUUCCUGCCUGGGGUAGUAUUCAACUGGGUUACCUCCCCGGACAAAAGCCACAGUAAUCUGCUCUCUGGUCUAAGGCUUUUUCUCAUAUUUCUGAAAGACUGAAGUGACCUACUUGGAAUCCUAAGACCUUCCUUAUCCACCCUCCAAUUCCUGCCUGGGGUAGUAUUCAACUGGGUUACCUCCCCGGACAAAAGCCACAGUAAUCUGCUCUGUAUGUCUCAGUGUUUCUUACUUUCUCCAUAAGUAUUAUUGUUUUGAUAAUACAUUACUUUAUGUUGAUGUAUUACACCACUGCCUGACUCUGUUAGCAGCCAUCAGCAGCCAUAACCCCUCCAUCUGCUCCCCUACCCCUUACUACAGCCCAUCUCCGUGUCCCUGUAGCUCCUUCCCUAUCUUACAUUAGCCUUAUAACUGCUCCCUACUCCAUU